UCGUAACAAGGUUUCCGUAGGUGAACCUGCGGAAGGAUCAUUACCGAGUGAGGGCCCUCUGGGUCCAACCUCCCACCCGUGUUUAUUUACCUUGUUGCUUCGGCGAGCCUGCCUUUUGGCUGCCGGGGGACGUCAGUCCCCGGGUCCGUGCUCGCCGGAGACACCUUAGAACUCUGUCUGAAGAUUGUAGUCUGAGAUUAAAUAUAAAUUAUUUAAAACUUUCAACAACGGAUCUCUUGGUUCCGGCAUCGAUGAAGAACGCAGCGAAAUGCGAUACGUAAUGUGAAUUGCAGAAUUCAGUGAAUCAUCGAGUCUUUGAACGCACAUUGCGCCCUCUGGUAUUCCGGAGGGCAUGCCUGUCCGAGCGUCAUUGCUGCCCUCAAGCACGGCUUGUGUGUUGGGCCCCGUCCUCCUUCCGGGGGACGGGUCCGAAAGGCAGCGGCGGCACCGCGUCCGGUCCUCAAGCGUAUGGGGCUUUGUCACUCGCUUGGUAGGCCUGGCCGGCGCUUGCCGAUCAACCAAAC
This 524-nucleotide unclassified non-coding RNA is filed under the name Penicillium bialowiezense. RNAcentral's name for it is "sequence contains 18S rRNA gene, ITS1, 5.8S rRNA gene, ITS2, 28S rRNA gene". The stretch from base 217 to 370 matches the Rfam family "5.8S ribosomal RNA". Lineage: Eukaryota; Fungi; Ascomycota; Eurotiomycetes; Eurotiales; Aspergillaceae. The record is from RNAcentral.